GUGCCAUCCGGAGAGAUCCGGGGUUCCCUUCGGGGACGCGAACACAGGUGCUGCAUGGCUGUCGUCAGCUCGUGUCGUGAGAUGUUGGGUUAAGUCCCGCAACGAGCGCAACCCACGUCCUUAGUUGCCAUCAUUCAGUUGGGCACUCUAGGGAGACUGCCGGUGAUAAGCCGCGAGGAAGGUGUGGAUGACGUCAAGUCCUCAUGGCCCUUACGGGAUGGGCUACACACGUGCUACAAUGGCGGUGACAGUGGGACGCGAAACCGCGAGGUUGAGCAAAUCCCCAAAAACCGUCUCAGUUCAGAUUGCACUCUGCAACUCGAGUGCAUGAAGGCGGAAUCGCUAGUAAUCGUGGAUCAGCAUGCCACGGUGAAUACGUUCCCGGGCCUUGUACACACCGCCCGUCACGCCAUGGGAGUUGGUCUUACCCGACGGCGCUGCGCCAACCGCAAGGAGGCAGGCGACCACGGUAGGGUCAGCG
This 481-nucleotide ribosomal RNA is filed under the name uncultured Methylobacterium sp. Its description in RNAcentral is "bacterial SSU rRNA". It matches the Rfam family "Bacterial small subunit ribosomal RNA", at positions 991 to 1473 of the family's 1533-position model. Lineage: Bacteria; Pseudomonadati; Pseudomonadota; Alphaproteobacteria; Hyphomicrobiales; Methylobacteriaceae. The record is from RNAcentral.